GAUGAACGCCGGCGGUGUGCCUAAUACAUGCAAGUCGUACGCACUGGCCCAACUGAUUGAUGGUGCUUGCACCUGAUUGACGAUGGAUCACCAGUGAGUGGCGGACGGGUGAGUAACACGUAGGUAACCUGCCCCGGAGCGGGGAGUAACAUUGGAAACAGAUGCUAAUACCGCAUAAUGCAUUGGAUUCGCAUGUUUCUGAUGCCAAAGAUUUAUCGCUGAAAGAUGAGCUCGCGUCUGAUUAGCUAGUUGGCGGGGUAACGGCCCACCAAGGCGACGAUCAGUAGCCGGACUGAGAGGUUGAACGGCCACAUUGGGACUGAGACACGGCCCAG
RNAcentral lists this ribosomal RNA (335 nucleotides) under uncultured bacterium. Its description in RNAcentral is "bacterial SSU rRNA". It matches the Rfam family "Bacterial small subunit ribosomal RNA", at positions 28 to 334 of the family's 1533-position model. The record is from RNAcentral.